RNAcentral lists this ribosomal RNA (253 nucleotides) under uncultured prokaryote. RNAcentral's name for it is "partial 16S ribosomal RNA". It matches the Rfam family "Bacterial small subunit ribosomal RNA", at positions 524 to 776 of the family's 1533-position model. The record is from RNAcentral.
UACGUAGGGACCAAGCGUUGUUCGGAUUUACUGGGCGUAAAGGGCGCGUAGGCGGCAAUUCAAGUCAUCUGUGAAAUCUCCGGGCUUAACUCGGAACGGUCAGGUGAUACUGCUUUGCUAGAGUGCGGAAGGGGCAAUCGGAAUUCUCGGUGUAGCGGUGAAAUGCGUAGAUAUCGGAAGGAACAUCAGUGGCGAAAGCGGCUUCCUGGACCAGUACCGACGUUCAGGCACGAAAGCGUGGGGAGCAAACAGG